GGAGGUCAAUGUAACACAGUCCACCAACUCGACUCAGAGAUUUGAUGAGAAGGAUGAAGCUAAUGAAAGCCCAGGAGAUGAACAGAAACAGCUUCUAAACAGGGAUGAAGCUAAUGCAAGCCCAGGAGAUGAACAGAAACCGCUUCCAAAUGGAUUGAUUUCUGGCUCAAAGACUGAGGCGACGACCACCACAACCAGCACCAAGAAAUGGGUCCGUGGGAGGUUGGUUGAAGUAAGUGAAGGAUGUUAGAUUAGCUGAAAGAUUAUUUGAAGUAUCCGAUUUACACACUUGGAAUGCAUCUCAUGGAUGCACUAUAGAGUACACUUUUUGACAAAAGGGAG
This 342-nucleotide unclassified non-coding RNA is filed under the name Hevea brasiliensis (rubber tree). Lineage: Eukaryota; Viridiplantae; Streptophyta; Magnoliopsida; Malpighiales; Euphorbiaceae. The record is from RNAcentral.